RNAcentral lists this long non-coding RNA (2038 nucleotides) under Anser brachyrhynchus (Pink-footed goose). RNAcentral's name for it is "lncRNA (ENSABRG00000003547.1)". Lineage: Eukaryota; Metazoa; Chordata; Aves; Anseriformes; Anatidae. The record is from RNAcentral.
UGAGAGGUGAAAUAGAGGGUGGGGAAGGAGCUGCCUGCGGGUGCAAGUAGUCCGUGGAGACUCACUCUUUUUCCUGCCGAGCUGCUAGCUGGCUGUCCUUGCCCUCUGCCCAAAGCUAGAAGCUAAGCUAAAACUCCGGCAUCAGAGGAAGUUUGGAAAAUGCAGCUUCUAUUCUGCCCAGUUCACGUUUGUGCCUUUCUGUAAAAUUCUGUGCCAGCAGGAUCAGCAAAGGGAACAGGUCAGAGAGACCCAGUCUCUCCGGGGAUAGCUCACCUUCAAAGUGUUUUCUCUGCCUUCCUUUUUGGACCUGAAACCUCAAAAGAGUAACUCCCAGUCAUUGAACUCGGGUGUUUAUGGGCUAAAAAGAGACCAUCUUUCAAUCAGUCAUUAUUUUUCUUGCCUUGGAAGAGACCACCAGAACUGCAGAGCAGUGGGAAGGAUGAGAGCCAAACCCUUAUUAUGAAGAAGAAGAAACAUGGGAAGCCACUGCUAUCAGCAUGUGUGUGCUUGUCCUCACUUCUCUUCCUGUGCAUAGCAUUGUGCACCUGGUUGGAGCCUUUAAUAACACCAGAAUGCAAUGGAGCAGACCCAGAGAUAAAAUAGCAGGAGCAGACACCACAUCCGUCCUUUAUAUGUUAUCACUGAUGCUUGUUUCUGUGCUGACUUUGCUGGGCACGAAUGCUGUGGAUGACUUGAUGAAGGGAUGGAUGUCUGCAGGAUGAUGAAAGACUGGGUCAGCCUUGAGGAAGGGACUAUCCAUCUCUUGAGAAGCCCUAGUACAAGUGGGAAAAAAAAAGGAAAAAAGAAAAACAAUAGGAAUACAUUAGAUGGUAAGGAAGAAAACUACUUAUCUCAUUAAUGGGGAGAAAACUAGCCUCUUUCAAACCUUCAGACUUUGAAAAAUUUUUAUAAGUCUUCUCAAAACAGUCCUCUCUACAGUUAACAGACUAACAGUGUGCAUUUGCCACACUCUUAAGUCACAAAAUGGUGGAGAUUUGGUAAAAAUGAAAACAAAUGGUGAGCAAAAGAGGUUUGUAAAAUUUUAGUGAUAUUAGCAUUAUGAGAAGAAAAUUAGAGAUGGCAUGAAUGUGUUUUUAAGAUUCUGCGCUUACACUGUCACUGCAGGUCUCAGGAGAAACAGUACCAAGGGGGUCAGAAGGUAACAGGCAAUCCUGACUGCCUAAUGCUCCUCACUUUUUUUCCCCAAACCCUUUUCUUCUCUAGACAAUGCAAACAGUUUUUCCAACCAAUAUCCCAUCAAGAGCUCCCGCUGUGUUAAAUGUGUCUCACCCCGAGAUUCACACUUUGGUGCUAUGCAGCGAAGUAAUGCCAUUGCUUCAUUGAAUCAAAAGUCUUUCAUUGCUCAGAGGGGUUGUCACCUCUUUGACAAUGUCAAAAUUAACUGCUUCACAGCAGGGGACGUCUUAGAAAUAAUGAAAGUUCCUGCCAUCGCUUAAGUAUAAGCAAGAUAACAGGCACUUAAGACAUAGAACUGUUAAUAUAGGGCCCUUUUUGUAAGGAUUUUCACCUAUAAGAUAAAAUGAAUUACCUCUGAGAUGGGGGAACAAAUGUUCUUAAAAAAACUAUCGCCUCUUCAUUCCUAAUGCCUAAUAGCCUGUAUUAUUUCAAAUAUGUCUCUGAUAUUAAAGAGGUACCUUCUUCCCCAACAGAGGAGCCCAGCAGGGCUUAUGUGCCAAAGGGCAGCACGGUAAAAAGUGAUUGAAGUGUUACUAGCAACUGCCUCCUAGCAAAGAAAGGAGCAUGUUAUGAAAAGUAAUGUCCAUUUUUUCUCAAGGAAAACACGUGCUCCCCCACAGUAUUAGUUAAGAAGAAAAAUGCUAGGAAAAUGGUAUGGACACAACAUAAACCGCCUUUCUGGAAAUGGGAUCUGCACAGAGGUUCUGUGACCCAUCAAGCACUCUUCUGUAGACUUCAGCCAAGUUUAUUUAGUUUGGGAAACCAUGUUUUUUUCUGCCAGAAAUCAGACUUUUUUUUUCCAGUUCAUCUAUGACAUCUAAUAAAUGACGCUUUGUUCACA